UACAGAGGUCCCAAGCGUUACUGAGAAUCACUGGGUUUAAAGGGUGCGUAGGUGGUCCGUUAAGUCAGUUGUGAAAUCCCCGGGCUCAACCCGGGAAAUGCUUCUGAUACGGGCGGACUUGAGGCCAGUAGGGGUCACUAGAACUGACGGUGGAGCGGUGAAAUGCGUAGAUAUCGUCAGGAAUGCCGGUGGUGAAGACGGGUGACUGGGCUGGUUCUGACACUGAGGCACGAAAGCGUGGGGAGCGAACGGG
Molecule: ribosomal RNA, 253 nt
Filed under: uncultured bacterium
Lineage: Bacteria
Description: partial 16S ribosomal RNA
Rfam family: Bacterial small subunit ribosomal RNA
Source: RNAcentral